RNAcentral lists this ribosomal RNA (282 nucleotides) under Macrococcoides caseolyticum. RNAcentral describes it as "Macrococcus caseolyticus partial 16S ribosomal RNA". It matches the Rfam family "Bacterial small subunit ribosomal RNA", at positions 50 to 314 of the family's 1533-position model. The record is from RNAcentral. Lineage: Bacteria; Bacillati; Bacillota; Bacilli; Caryophanales; Staphylococcaceae.
UGCCUAUACAUGCAAGUCGAGCGAACGGACGAAGAGUGCUUGCACUCUCUGAUGUUAGCGGCGGACGGGUGAGUAACACGUGGGUAACCUACCUAUAAGACUGGGAUAACUUCGGGAAACCGGAGCUAAUACCGGAUAAUAUUUAGCUUCGCAUGAAGCAAUAGUGAAAGACGGUUCUGCUGUCACUUAUAGAUGGACCCGCGGUGUAUUAGCUAGUUGGUGAGGUAACGGCUCACCAAGGCAACGAUACAUAGCCGACCUGAGAGGGUGAUCGGCCACUGG